CGCAUCUGUGCAUGCAGCAUAUCAAUAAGCGGAGGAAAAGAAACUAACAAGGAUUCCCCUAGUAACGGCGAGUGAAGCGGGAAGAGCUCAAAUUUGAAAUCUUAAAGGGUUUCCCUUUACGAAUUGUAGUUUAAAGAAGUGUUUUCUGUUGAGGUUUUGGUAAAAGUUCUUUGGAAUAGGACAUCAUAGAGGGUGAGAAUCCCGUAUUUGACCUUUACUUUCAACUUUGUGAUACACUUUCAAAGAGUCGGAUUGUUUGGGAAUGCAGUCCAAAAUGGGUGGUAAAUUUCAUCUAAAGCUAAAUAUUGGCGAGAGACCGAUAGCGAACAAGUACCGUGAGGGAAAGAUGAAAAGAACUUUGAAAAGAGAGUUAAACAGUACGUGAAAUUGUCAAAAGGGAAGCGUUUGACACCAGUGUUGUUUUUCUGAAAAUCAAUUAAAGAACUGUUUAUGCUAAGUUGUUUAGACUUUAUCAGCUAUCUGUUUAGUUUUGAGCUUUUCUUUAAUGCACUUUUCAGUUAACAAGUCAACAUCAAUUUCUUUUGCUGUAAAAAAGCUUGAGGAAGGUGGCUUGAGAUUCGUCUUAAGUGUUUAUAGCCUCUUGCCUAUGCAGUCGGAGAGAUUGAGGUCUGCAGCGUAGAUCCUUCGGGGCUAAAUGCAUUUGUGCUAAGUUAUAGCAUUUUAUAGACAACUUGUUGACUAUGAUUUGUCUUGUAGCUUACUCGCUUAUGUUAUUGUACCUACGCUUAGGAUGUUGAGUCGUAGAGCACGCAG
Molecule: ribosomal RNA, 774 nt
Filed under: uncultured Neocallimastigales
Lineage: Eukaryota; Fungi; Neocallimastigomycota; Neocallimastigomycetes; Neocallimastigales
Description: partial large subunit ribosomal RNA
Rfam family: Eukaryotic large subunit ribosomal RNA
Source: RNAcentral